RNAcentral lists this ribosomal RNA (485 nucleotides) under uncultured bacterium. RNAcentral's name for it is "partial 16S ribosomal RNA". It matches the Rfam family "Bacterial small subunit ribosomal RNA", at positions 899 to 1397 of the family's 1533-position model. The record is from RNAcentral.
ACUCAAAUGAAUUGACGGGGGCCCGCACAAGCGGCGGAGCGUGUGGUUUAAUUCGAUGCAACGCGAAGAACCUUACCAGGGCUUGACAUGCUAGUGGUACUGAUCUGAAAGGUGAGGGACCCUUCGGGGAGCUAGCACAGGUGCUGCAUGGCUGUCGUCAGCUCGUGCCGUGAGGUGUUGGGUUAAGUCCCGCAACGAGCGCAACCCUCGCCGUCAGUUAAAUCUUUCUGACGGGACCGCUGGGAUAAACCCAGAGGAAGGUGGGGAUGACGUCAAGUCAGCAUGGCCCUUACGUCCUGGGCUACACACACGCUACAAUGGCCGGUACAGUGGGCUGCCAAGGCGCGAGCCGGAGCUAAUCCCCCAAAGCCGGCCUCAGUUCAGAUUGCAGGCUGCAACUCGCCUGCAUGAAGGCGGAGUCGCUAGUAACCGCAGGUCAGCACACUGCGGUGAAUACGUUCCCGGGCCUUGUACACACCGCCCGU